Long non-coding RNA from Oncorhynchus keta (chum salmon), 609 nucleotides. RefSeq lists it as uncharacterized. Lineage: Eukaryota; Metazoa; Chordata; Actinopteri; Salmoniformes; Salmonidae. The transcript is spliced from 4 exons. The record is from RefSeq and is a predicted model, not a curated record.
UAGUGGUUAGAGGCAGGUAGCCUAGUGGUUAGAGGCAGGUAGCCUAGUGGUUAGAGGCAGGUAGCCUAGUGGUUAGAGGCAGGUAGCCUAGUGGUUAGAGGCAGGUAGCCUAGUGGUUAGAGGCAGGUAGCCUAGUGGUUAGAGGCAGGUAGCCUAGUGGUUAGAGGAGGCAGGUAGCCUAGUGGUUAGAGGAGGCAGGUAGCCUAGUGGUUAGAGGAGGCAGGUAGCCUAGUGGUUAGAGGCAGGUAGCCUAGUGGUUAGAGGCAGGUAGCCUAGUGGUUAGAGGCAGGUAGCCUAGUGGUUAGAGGCAGGUAGCCUAGUGGUUAGAGGCAGGUAGCCUAGUGGUUAGAGGCAGGUAGCCUAGUGGUUAGAGGAGGCAGGUAGCCUAGUGGUUAGAGGAGGCAGGUAGCCUAGUGGUUAGAGGAGGCAGGUAGCCUAGUGGUUAGAGGCAGGUAGCCUAGUGGUUAGAGGCAGGUAGCCUAGUGGUUAGAGGAGGCAGGUAGCCUAGUGGUUAGAGGAGGCAGGUAGCCUAGUGGUUAGAGGCAGGUAGCCUAGUGGUUAGAGGAGGAAGGUAGCCUAGUGGUUAGAGGAGGCAGGUAGCCUAGUGGU